This 443-nucleotide ribosomal RNA is filed under the name uncultured bacterium. Its description in RNAcentral is "SSU rRNA". It matches the Rfam family "Bacterial small subunit ribosomal RNA", at positions 27 to 518 of the family's 1533-position model. The record is from RNAcentral.
GGAGCGAACGCUGGCGGCAGGCCUAACACAUGCAAGUCGAGCGCCCAGCAAUGGGAGCGGCAGACGGGAGAGUAACACGUGGGAACAUGCCCUUCAGUUCGGGACAACCAAGGGAAACUUUGGCUAAUACCGGAUACGCCCUUACGGGGAAAGAUUUAUCGCUGAAGGAUUGGCCCGCGUCUGAUUAGCUUGUUGGUGAGGUAACGGCUCACCAAGGCAACGAUCAGUAGCUGGUCUGAGAGGAUGAUCAGCCUCACUGGGACUGAGACACGGCCCAGACUCCUACGGGAGGCAGCAGUGGGGAAUAUUGGACAAUGGGCGCAAGCCUGAUCCAGCCAUGCCGCGUGGAUGAUGAAGGCCCUAGGGUUGUAAAGUCCUUUUAACGGGGAGAUAAUGACGGUACCCGUAGAAUAAGCCCGGCUAACUUCGUGCCAGCAGCCGAC